AUGAUUCCUUUGUCUCACUCUCAUCUGGAUCUCUGUGGCUGGCUUUAUCUCAACCUCUCUAUGGCAGGUAAGAACUCUUGGUUUUCCCUCUCUUUCUAACUGUGCGAUUCAAAUGAUUCGCAUCAUAGCAGAAAGUAUUUCAACUUUGAAUUAUGGUCUAGGCUUUCUAGCGAAAUGAUUUAUAUGUCCUAUUUUAAUUUAGGUUUAAUGAUUUGGGUAUUGAAUCGCAAGUCCAUUUUUUUUGGAUUUAUAUAGGAUUUGGAUUUAUAUAGGUUUUGGUAAUUUUUUCAACUUAUAAUUCGAUUUUUUUGUUUCUUUCGAAUUGUUCUCUCUCCCACCUCUCCCCUUUCUCUUUCUCAGAUAGAUCGUUGCUACUUUCUUACUUUUUUUAUUAUUUGAAUUUGAGGGUUGGAAGCUUGUGAGUUGUUCAUUCUUGAUAAUGAUACGGGACUUUAAAUUGAUGGCCUUCAGACUGCAUAUCGUUCAAACAUUGGGUUCUUGAAGGAAGAUGCUAGAUGAUGGAGCAUCCAUUUCAGCCUUGAAGAGAUAUUGCAGGUUUCUGUUUUGUAAGCUGUGUGUAUUCUAUGUUUGAUAACUUGAAAUUUUGUGUAGUAUGUUUACUUGAGAUCUUAAUGUUAAAAUAAUGAUCUAGAACUUGAGAUAGGAUUGAGACAUUUAUUGUCCUCCAUGACAAUGGAGCAAAUUGGUGUACAUUACAACCCAUUAGAUCCAUGACUUCUUAUAAUGGAUUAUUUUUGUGCUUGAGAUAAUUUAGUCCGAAUUGUAGAGUAAUAUCUUUAGUUUAUAAUCUAAAUUAGUUCUGAUUUUUCAGUGAACAAUUCAAAAUUUGGUAUGGAUGUCCUUCUUGGUGGGUUUUCUAACAUUUCUUUAAAUACAAUUGCAUACGAAUGACGUUGCUGUGAAAAAAGUGAAAAAAGUAACAUGUUGAUACAAUGUUGUUUCGUGAUGAACUGGAAAUACACAAAGAUUUGAUUCACUCUAGUAGGCUUAGUUGCGUAGAUAUUUGAAGAAUUAAGUCAGCAUGCUAGUAAUUGCUAUUGGCUCAUGGCUGAUUGUGUCUUGGUGUGACUUUUUCUAUCAUCCAAAGUUGGAGGUCCUAUCCUUGCUAGUUGUUUGGGAACACAGAGACGUGAAGAUGAAUAUGCACUUUGGGUUUCCCUUGUCCGAUGGUUCGCUGAUCAUCACAAGUGUUUUGAUUUGCUUUCUGGUUCGUUCAAUGUAUAGUAAAAUAUCGCUAUAUAAUUUAUUUCCUCUUCUUUUGCAGCGGGAGUAGCUAUUUUCAUUUUACUGAUAUCAUUUUACUCAACUCGUGAAGGUGAGGACUUCACUAGCAAGAUACAUAUAUAAUGCUACAAAUUUUUUUGUGAAAUUAUACUGUGAUUCCCUUCUUUGUUUUCUUCUCAUUGUAUUUUUUUCUUGAAACAUUUGACAGUACAAGGAGUCACAGAGGCAGAAAAAUUCGGCGAUUCAUAUCUUUUGUGGCUAAUGAGUUGGUGAUGUGUGUUUUAUUGUGAAUGGUAGUUUGAGUAUGUCAUGUCAAGUUGGCUACAUAAGAAAUACACAAAUUCCUGGGAAGAAUACGAUUUCUUGAAUUGUUUAUUAGGAGUAGGAUGUGUUUACUUGAUUGUCGACAUUAUAUUUAGUUUUUCAUAAAUGCAUUAGAAUGGUUAAAAGCACUACAAAUUCUAUUGUUUUUACUUUUAGGUACUGAAAGCAUGGAAGAGAAGAAAAAUGAAAUGACAGAGGUCGUUUGGCAAUUACCAUUCAGACGAUUGGCUUUCACAAAUUAG
RNAcentral lists this long non-coding RNA (1811 nucleotides) under Prunus dulcis (almond). RNAcentral describes it as "sRNA ncRNA". The record is from RNAcentral. Lineage: Eukaryota; Viridiplantae; Streptophyta; Magnoliopsida; Rosales; Rosaceae.